GAGAAUUGCUUGAACCUGGGAGGUGGAGGUUGCAGUGAGCUGAGAUCACGCCACUGCACUCCAGCCUGGGGGAUAGAGCGAGACCCUGUCUC
RNAcentral lists this microRNA precursor (92 nucleotides) under Rhinopithecus roxellana (golden snub-nosed monkey). RNAcentral describes it as "miRNA (ENSRROG00000025972.1)". Lineage: Eukaryota; Metazoa; Chordata; Mammalia; Primates; Cercopithecidae. The record is from RNAcentral.